CCUACGGGGGACAGCAGUCGGGAAUAUUGCGCAAUGGAGGCAACUCUGAAGCAGUGACGCCGCGUGCAGGAUGAAGGCUUUCGGAUUGGAAACUGCCUUUGACAGGGAAGUAAAAAGACAGUCCCUGUAGCAUAAGCUCCGGCUAACUCCGUGCCAGCAGCCGCGGUAAUACGGAGGGCGCAAGCGUUAUCCGGAUUUAUUGGGUGUAAAGGGUGCGUAGACGGAGAAGCAAGUUAGUUGUGAAAUCCCUCGGCUUAACUGAGGAACUGCAACUAAAACUACUUGCCUUGAGUGCUGGAGAGGAAGGUGGAAUUCAUGGUGUAGCGGUGAAAUGCGUAGAUAUUAUGAGGAACACCAGUGGCGAAGGCGAGUGUCUGGACAGUAACUGACGUUGAGGCACGAAAGUGUGGGGAGCAAACAGGAUUAGAUACCCUUGUAGUC
This 441-nucleotide ribosomal RNA is filed under the name uncultured bacterium. RNAcentral's name for it is "partial 16S ribosomal RNA". It matches the Rfam family "Bacterial small subunit ribosomal RNA", at positions 338 to 795 of the family's 1533-position model. The record is from RNAcentral.